GGAGGAUCCAAGCGUUAUCCGGAAUUACUGGGCGUAAAGAGUUGCGUAGGUGGCAGAGUAAGCAAGUAGUGAAAGCCUGGGGCUCAACCCCUUACACAUUACUUGAACUGCUCAGCUUGAGGACAAGAGAGGUUAUUGGAAUUCCUAGUGUAGGAGUGAAAUCCGUAGAUAUUAGGAGGAACACCGAUGGCGUAGGCAGAUAACUGGCUUGUUCCUGACACUAAGGCACGAAAGCGUGGGUAGCAAACGGGAUUAGAUACCCCGGUAGUCCACGCCGUAAACGAUGGAUGCUAGCUGUUAGAAGUAUCGACCCUUCUAGUAGCGAAGCUAACGCGUUAAGCAUCCCGCCUGUGGAGUACGGUCGCAAGA
Molecule: ribosomal RNA, 369 nt
Filed under: uncultured bacterium
Lineage: Bacteria
Description: bacterial SSU rRNA
Rfam family: Bacterial small subunit ribosomal RNA
Source: RNAcentral